Molecule: ribosomal RNA, 319 nt
Filed under: uncultured eukaryote
Lineage: Eukaryota
Description: partial 18S ribosomal RNA
Rfam family: Eukaryotic small subunit ribosomal RNA
Source: RNAcentral
CCCUUAGAUGUUCUGGGCAGCACGCGCGCUACAAUGGUCUUCGCAAACGGAUGCAUUCUCGAAGGAGAAUGCCAAUCUUGGAAUCUAUGCCUUGGUCGGGACAGUUGCUUGCAAUUUUUCGACUCGAACCAGGAAUUCCUUGUAAUCGUGAUUCAUCACAUCACGAUGAAUACGUCCCUGCCCUUUGUACACACCGCACGUCGCUCCUACCGAUCGAAGAGUUAGGUGAAUUGUUUUGAUCGAUAAGAUUUGACUAUGGUCAACUCUCGUUGUGAAAUUCUGUGAAUCUGACUGUUUAGAGGAAGGAAAAGUCGUAACA